This 432-nucleotide long non-coding RNA is filed under the name Phaseolus vulgaris (common bean). RNAcentral describes it as "long non-coding RNA (PVUL_LNC001319)". The record is from RNAcentral. Lineage: Eukaryota; Viridiplantae; Streptophyta; Magnoliopsida; Fabales; Fabaceae.
GCGGCGGAGGGAGGGAGGAAAGGGCCGAUCUUGCCGUCGGAGACGCUGGCGUCGUUGGUGACGGAGGAUAAGAAGGAAGAGGAGGUGGUGGGGGUGGUGGAAAGAGUGAGGGUUUCGUCUUUGUUGCAGGGCUUAGAGUUGAGAAUGGUGGGUUUAACGAAAUCCAAAGUAAAGCCUGGUUGGGAUUGAGGUUGUGGUUGUGGUUGUGGUUGUGGCUCUGGUUGCGGCUGGGCCUGGGCCUGGGUCGGUGCACGGCGGAAGCGAGCGUGACCGGUGCGGUUGAGAAGGUUAAUGACUUGUUUGAACUUAGAGACGGUGAAGUCGGUGAUUUCGGAGCAGUCAAGGUUGUUAAGGCUAACGUUGUUGUUGCUGUUGUUAGAAGAAGAAGAAAAAGAAGAAGAGUUGCAGGCAGAGGGAGAAAGGAGUCGAAUG